RNAcentral lists this ribosomal RNA (484 nucleotides) under uncultured bacterium. RNAcentral describes it as "partial 16S ribosomal RNA". It matches the Rfam family "Bacterial small subunit ribosomal RNA", at positions 30 to 507 of the family's 1533-position model. The record is from RNAcentral.
AUUGAACGCUGGCGGCAGGCCUAACACAUGCAAGUCGAGCGGAUGAAGGGAGCUUGCUCCUGGAUUCAGCGGCGGACGGGUGAGUAAUGCCUAGGAAUCUGCCUGGUAGUGGGGGAUAACGUCCGGAAACGGGCGCUAAUACCGCAUACGUCCUGAGGGAGAAAGUGGGGGAUCUUCGGACCUCACGCUAUCAGAUGAGCCUAGGUCGGAUUAGCUAGUUGGUGGGGUAAAGGCCUACUAAGGCGACGAUCCGUAACUGGUCUGAGAGGCUGAUCAGUCACACUGGAGCUGAGACACGGUCCAGACUCCUACGGGAGGCAGCAGUGGGGAAUGUUAGACAGUGGGCGGGAGCCUGAUACAGCCAUGCGGCGUGUGUGGAGACGGUCUUCGGAUUGUAAAGCACUUUAAGUUGGGAGAAAGGGCAGUAAGUUAAUACCUUGCUGUUUUGACGUUACCAACAGAAUAAGCACCGGCUAACUUCGUG